GAUGAACGCUGGCGGCGUGCCUAAUACAUGCAAGUCGAGCGAACAGAUAAGGAGCUUGCUCCUUUGACGUUAGCGGCGGACGGGUGAGUAACACGUGGGUAACCUACUUAUAAGACUGGGAUAACUUCGGGAAACCGGAGCUAAAACCGGAUAAUAUUUCGAACCGCAUGGUUCGAUAGUGAAAGAUGGUUUUGCUAUCACUUAUAGAUGGACCCGCGCCGUAUUAGCUAGUUGGUAAGGUAACGGCUUACCAAGGCGACGAUGCGUAGCCGACCUGAGAGGGUGAUCGGCCACAUUGGAACUGAGACACGGUCCAGACUCCUACGGGAGGCAGCAGUAGGGAAUCUUCCGCAAUGGGCGAAAGCCUGACGGAGCAACGCCGCGUGAGUGAUGAAGGUCUUCGGAUCGUAAAACUCUGUUAUUAGGGAAGAACAUACGUGUAAGUAACUGUGCGCGUCUUGACGGUACCUAAUCAGAAAGCCACGGCUAACUACGUG
RNAcentral lists this ribosomal RNA (497 nucleotides) under uncultured bacterium. RNAcentral's name for it is "partial 16S ribosomal RNA". It matches the Rfam family "Bacterial small subunit ribosomal RNA", at positions 28 to 507 of the family's 1533-position model. The record is from RNAcentral.